CCUACGGGUGGCAGCAGUGAGGAAUAUUGGUCAAUGGACGGAAGUCUGAACCAGCCAUGCCGCGUGCAGGAAGACGGCUCUAUGAGUUGUAAACUGCUUUUGUACAAGGGUAAACCUGAAUACGUGUAUUCAGCUGAAAGUACUGUACGAAUAAGGAUCGGCUAACUCCGUGCCAGCAGCCGCGGUAAUACGGAGGAUCCAAGCGUUAUCCGGAUUUAUUGGGUUUAAAGGGUGCGCAGGCGGAGGUGCAAGUCAGUGGUCAAAUUGCGGGGCUCAACCCCGUACUGCCGUUGAAACUGCAUCCCUUGAGUGCGCGAGAAGUAUGCGGAAUGCGUGGUGUAGCGGUGAAAUGCAUAGAUAUCACGCAGAACUCCGAUUGCGAAGGCAGCAUACCGGCGCGCAACUGACGCUCAUGCACGAAAGCGUGGGUAUCGAACAGGAUUAGAUACCCCUGUAGUC
RNAcentral lists this ribosomal RNA (459 nucleotides) under uncultured bacterium. Its description in RNAcentral is "partial 16S ribosomal RNA". It matches the Rfam family "Bacterial small subunit ribosomal RNA", at positions 338 to 795 of the family's 1533-position model. The record is from RNAcentral.